RNAcentral lists this ribosomal RNA (496 nucleotides) under uncultured bacterium. RNAcentral's name for it is "partial 16S ribosomal RNA". It matches the Rfam family "Bacterial small subunit ribosomal RNA", at positions 28 to 506 of the family's 1533-position model. The record is from RNAcentral.
GAUGAACGCUGGCGGCGUGCCUAAUACAUGCAAGUCGAGCGAACGGACGAGAAGCUUGCUUCUCUGAUGUUAGCGGCGGACGGAUGAGUAACACGUGGAUAACCUACCCAUAAGACUGGGAUAACUUCGGGAAACCGGAGCUAAUACCGGAUAAUAUUUUGAACCGCAUGGUUCAAAAGUGAAAGACGGUCUUGCUGUCACUUAUAGAUGGAUCCGCGCUGCAUUAGCUAGUUGGUAAGGUAACGGCUUACCAAGGCAACGAUGCAUAGCCUACCUGAGAGGGUGAUCGGCCACACUGGAACUGAGACACGGUCCAGACUCCUACGGGAGGCAGCAGUAGGGAAUCUUCCGCAAUGGGCGAAAGCCUGACGGAGCAACGCCGCGUGAGUGAUGAAGGUCUUCGGAUCGUAAAACUCUGUUAUUAGGGAAGAACAUAUGUGUAAGUAACUGUGCACAUCUUGACGGUACCUAAUCAGAAAGCCACGGCUAACUACGU